RNAcentral lists this ribosomal RNA (240 nucleotides) under uncultured bacterium. Its description in RNAcentral is "partial 16S ribosomal RNA". It matches the Rfam family "Bacterial small subunit ribosomal RNA", at positions 537 to 776 of the family's 1533-position model. The record is from RNAcentral.
AGCGUUGUUCGGAAUUACUGGGCGUAAAGGGCGCGCAGGCGGCCUUAGAAGUCAGAUGUGAAAGCCCCGGGCUCAACCUGGGAAUGGCAUUUGAUACUCUGAGGCUGGAGUACGGGAGAGGAGAGUGGAAUUCCCAGUGUAGAGGUGAAAUUCGUAGAUAUCGGAAGGAACACCAGUGGCGAAAGCGGCUCCCUGGUCCAGCACCGACGUUCAGGCACGAAAGCGUGGGGAGCAAACAGG